This 493-nucleotide ribosomal RNA is filed under the name Nematoda environmental sample. RNAcentral's name for it is "SSU rRNA". It matches the Rfam family "Eukaryotic small subunit ribosomal RNA", at positions 38 to 534 of the family's 1831-position model. Lineage: Eukaryota; Metazoa; Nematoda. The record is from RNAcentral.
CAAAGAUUAAGCCAUGCAUGUCUAAGCAUAAACCGAAUAUGGUAAAGCCGCGAAUGGCUCAUUACAACAGCCAUAGUUUAUUGGAUCUUAGAGUCCUACUUGGAUACCUGUGGUAAUUCUAGAGCUAAUACACGCAAUCAAGCCUCAACCUUACGGGCGGGGCGCAUUUAUUAGAACAAAACCAAUUGGCUUCGGCCAUAGAUUGGUGAAUCUGAAUAACUACGCUGAUCGCACGGGCUUGUCCCGGCGACGUAUCCUUCAAGUGUCUGCCUUAUCAACUUUCGAUGGUAGUUUAUAUGACUACCAUGGUUGUAACGGGUAACGGAGAAUAAGGGUUCGACUCCGGAGAGGGAGCCUGAGAAACGGCUACCACAUCCAAGGAAGGCAGCAGGCGCGCAAAUUACCCACUCUCAGAACGAGGAGGUAGUGACGAAAAAUAACGAGACAGUUCUCUAUGAGGUCUGUCAUCGGAAUGGGUACAAUCUAAACCCUU